This 425-nucleotide ribosomal RNA is filed under the name uncultured bacterium. Its description in RNAcentral is "partial 16S ribosomal RNA". It matches the Rfam family "Bacterial small subunit ribosomal RNA", at positions 354 to 796 of the family's 1533-position model. The record is from RNAcentral.
GUGGGGAAUAUUGGACAAUGGGCGAAAGCCUGAUCCAGCCAUGCCGCGUGAACGAUGAAGGCCUUCGGGUUGUAAAGUUCUUUAGCCGAUGAUUAUAAUGACUGUAGUCGGAAAAUAAGCCCCGGCUAACUUCGUGCCAGCAGCCGCGGUAAUACGAAGGGGGCGAGCGUUAUUCGGAAUCACUGGGCGUAAAGCGUGCGUAGGCGGUUUUGUAAGUUAGGAGUGAAAGCCCAGGGCUCAACCUUGGAAUUGCUCUUAAAACUGCAAGGCUCGAAUCUCGGAGAGGAUAGCGGAAUUUCCAGUGUAGCAGUGAAAUGCGUAGAUAUUGGAAGGAACACCAGUGGCGUAAGCGGCUAUCUGGACGAGUAUUGACGCUGAGGCACGAAAGCGUGGGGAUCAAACAGGAUUAGAAACCCGGGUAGUCC